AACGAACGCUGGCGGCAGGCCUAACACAUGCAAGUCGAACGGUUGUAGCAAUACAGCCGUGGCGCACGGGUGAGUAACGCGUGGGAAUAUACCGAGAGGUGGGGAAUAAAUCCGGGAAACUGGAGAUAAUACCGCAUACGCCCGAGAGGGGAAAGAUUUAUCGCUUUUCGAUUAGCCCGUGUGAGAUUAGGUAGGUGGGGGGGUAAUGGCCUACCAAGCCGACGAUCUCUAGCUGGUCGGAGAGGAUGAUCAGCCAGACGGGAACUGAGACACGGUCCAGACUCCUACGGGAGGCAGCAGUGGGGAAUAUUGGACAAUGGGCGAAAGCCUGAUCCAGCCAUGCCGCGUGAAUGAUGAAGGCCUUAGGGUUGUAAAGUUCUUGCGCCGACGAAGAUAAUGACGGUAGUCGGAGAAGAAGCCCCGGCUAACUUCGUGCCAGCCGCCGCGGUAA
This 451-nucleotide ribosomal RNA is filed under the name uncultured bacterium. RNAcentral describes it as "partial 16S ribosomal RNA". It matches the Rfam family "Bacterial small subunit ribosomal RNA", at positions 29 to 523 of the family's 1533-position model. The record is from RNAcentral.